Molecule: ribosomal RNA, 2508 nt
Filed under: Bubalus bubalis bubalis
Lineage: Eukaryota; Metazoa; Chordata; Mammalia; Artiodactyla; Bovidae
Description: bacterial LSU rRNA
Rfam family: Bacterial large subunit ribosomal RNA
Source: RNAcentral
UCAAGCGAACAAGUGCAUGUGGUGGAUGCCUUGGCGAUCACAGGCGAUGAAGGACGCGGUAGCCUGCGAAAAGCUACGGGGAGCUGGCAAACGAGCUUUGAUCCGUAGAUGUCCGAAUGGGGAAACCCACUCCUUUUGGAGUAUCCAUGGCUGAAUACAUAGGCCAUGCGAAGCGAACGCGGUGAACUGAAACAUCUAAGUAACCGCAGGAAAAGAAAUCAACCGAGAUUCCCAAAGUAGUGGCGAGCGAAAUGGGAUGAGCCUUGCACUCUUUAUUUGUAUUGUUAGCCGAACGCUCUGGAAAGUGCGGCCAUAGCAGGUGAUAGCCCUGUAGGCGAAAACAGUAUGAAAGAACUAGGUGUGCGACAAGUAGGGCGGGACACGUGAAAUCCUGUCUGAAGAUGGGGGGACCAUCCUCCAAGGCUAAAUACUCGUGAUCGACCGAUAGUGAACCAGUACCGUGAGGGAAAGGCGAAAAGAACCCCGGGAGGGGAGUGAAAUAGAUCCUGAAACCGCAUGCAUACAAACAGUCGGAGCCUCGUAAGGGGUGACGGCGUACCUUUUGUAUAAUGGGUCAGCGACUUACGUUCAGUAGCAAGCUUAACCGUAUAGGGCAGGCGUAGCGAAAGCGAGUCCGAAUAGGGCGUUCAGUUGCUGGGCGUAGACCCGAAACCAGGUGAUCUAUCCAUGGCCAGGAUGAAGGUGCGGUAACACGUACUGGAGGUCCGAACCCACUAACGUUGAAAAGUUAGGGGAUGAGCUGUGGAUAGGGGUGAAAGGCUAAACAAACCUGGAAAUAGCUGGUUCUCUCCGAAAACUAUUUAGGUAGUGCCUCGUGUCUCACCUUCGGGGGUAGAGCACUGUCAUGGUUGGGGGGUCUAUUGCAGAUUACCCCGCCAUAGCAAACUCCGAAUACCGAAGAGUGCAAUCACGGGAGACAGACAUCGGGUGCUAACGUCCGGUGUCAAGAGGGAAACAACCCAGACCGCCAGCUAAGGUCCCCAAAUAUAGCUAAGUGGGAAACGAAGUGGGAAGGCUAAAACAGUCAGGAGGUUGGCUUAGAAGCAGCCACCCUUUAAAGAAAGCGUAAUAGCUCACUGAUCGAGUCGUCCUGCGCGGAAGAUGUAACGGGGCUAAGCUAUAUACCGAAGCUGCGGAUGCGUGCUUAGCACGCAUGGUAGGAGAGCGUUCCGUAAGCCUGCGAAGGUGCCUUGUAAAGGGUGCUGGAGGUAUCGGAAGUGCGAAUGCUGACAUGAGUAGCGAUAAAGGGGGUGAAAGGCCCCCUCGCCGUAAGCCCAAGGUUUCCUACGCAACGUUCAUCGGCGUAGGGUGAGUCGGCCCCUAAGGCGAGGCAGAAAUGCGUAGCUGAUGGGAAGCAGGUCAAUAUUCCUGCACCAUUGUUAGAUGCGAUGGGGGGACGGAUCGCGGAAGGUUGUCCGGGUGUUGGAAGUCCCGGUCGCUGCAUUGGAGAAGGCGCUUAGGCAAAUCCGGGCGCGGAAUUCAAGGGUGUGGCGCGAGCUCCUUAGGGAGCGAAGCAAUUGGAAGUGGUUCCAAGAAAAGCCUCUAAGCUUCAGUCUAACGAUGACCGUACCGCAAACCGACACAGGUGGGCAGGGCGAGGAGCCCCAGGUGGGCGAGGGAACCUCCGUCAAGGAACUCGGCAAAUUGACCCCGUAACUUCGGGAGAAGGGGUGCCCCGCGUAGGGCGGAGGGCCACGCGCCCCGAGCUCGAGGGGGCCGCAGUGACCAGGCCCAGGCGACUGUUUAACACAAACACAGGUCUCCGCGAAGGCGCGAGCCGACGUAUGGGGGCUGACACCUGCCCAGUGCCGGAAGGUUAAGGGGAGGGCUGCAGGGCCCGAACCGAAGCCCCGGUAAACGGCGGCCGUAACUAUAACGGUCCUAAGGUAGCGAAAUUCCUUGUCGGGUAAGUUCCGACCCGCACGAAAGGUGUCACGAUCUGGGCGCUGUCUCGACGGAGGCCUCGGCGAAAUUGAAGUGGCUGUGAAGAUGCGGCCACCCCGCAGCAGGACAAAAAGACCCCGUGGAGCUUUACUACACCCUGACAUUGGAUUGGGAUUUAGCUUGUGUAGGAUAGGUGGGAGGCUGAGAAGCUGGGGCGCUAGCCUCGGUGGAGCCGACGUUGAAAUACCACCCUUGCUGAAUUCCGGUUCUAACCGCGACCCGUUAUCCGGGCGCAGGACAGUGUCAGGCGGGUAGUUUGACUGGGGCGGUCGCCUCCUAAAGUGUAACGGAGGCGCCCAAAGGUUCCCUCAGGCUGAAUGGAAACCAGCCGAAGAGUGCAAAGGCAUAAGGGAGCUUGACUGCGAGACCCACAAGUCGAGCAGAGACGAAAGUCGGGCUUAGUGAUCUGGUACCUCCGAGUGGAAGGGGUAUCACUCAACGGAUAAAAGCUACCCCGGGGAUAACAGGCUGAUGGUGCCCAAGAGUUCACAUCGACGGCACCGUUUGGCACCUCGAUGUCGGCUCGUCGCAUCCUGGGGCGGA